Long non-coding RNA from Juglans microcarpa x Juglans regia, 964 nucleotides. RefSeq lists it as uncharacterized. The record is from RefSeq and is a predicted model, not a curated record. The transcript has 2 exons. Lineage: Eukaryota; Viridiplantae; Streptophyta; Magnoliopsida; Fagales; Juglandaceae.
CAACCCAGGGAGUAAAGGACAUCAUCUUCAGAGGAAGGAGAACAAUGCAGCCCGCAUUCAUUUCCUCCAAAUCUCUUGAUCCUCAACGCAUUAUCAGCCUACUAUGUUUAAUUUCUAUCUUCAUUUUCAGUUCCUUUACUUGAGAGGCAAACCACAUUUUCUCUACCCGUCGACUCUAUUCUCACUCCACCGCAACAAUCUUCGACCUUGGAUUUCACGGCCAUCACGAGCAAUCGUCGUCAUGUUUAUAUUUUCUGUAAGCUUUUUCUAAUCUUUUUUGUGAUUUUCAGUGCAAUCUUUUCCAUGGUUUACGGUGAAGUCAGCGACGGCUUGGGGCUGGUUUUUGGUUGGACGUGGAGGCUUCCUUGGCCGUGUACAGUGGAGAGAGGUGUGUGUUGUUACUUGUUCAAAUUACACACGACAGGGGCUUUGGAAGUGGUAUGGACUGGCUCGCUUGGGUGGCAGUGCGACGGGGCUGGGCUUCUAUGGUGGAGAAGACGUUCAGCUAGCAGACAGCGGCUUAGUGUUUCACGGUGCAGCUGGCCAAGUUUUGGAGGUGGUUGUCGUGCGUGGAGAUGACCUCAAUGGCUGGAGCCUGGUUCCCUCUAAUGUGGUCUUGGUUUCGUUGACUUGGGUCUAUUGAACAGAUCACUUCUUCCUCCAGUACAACGAUGGCUAAGCAAGGCUCCACCAUUUUAUCCAACUGUCCAGAAGAUUCUGGAGUCACAUAGAGCAGACUUGAAGACCCCUUUGUGCCUGUGCUGUAUUGUUUUUGAUUGGUUGUAUUAUAGUGCUUAGGAAAUAUUCUAACUCACUCUACCAUACCAAUUGUACAACAGCGCACAUCAGCUGCUUGACACUAUGCGCAUGCCAAUUCUGUUAUGGCUCUAGAUGUCUAUAAAUACUCUUUUGCAAAUUCAUAUUAUACAAUGAAAAUAGAACAUUUCCAGAAUACAUUUUCUUC